CAGGAGCGGACUGGAAGGAGAGGCUUCUCCGGGAGAGUAGCCUGCGCGGGCACUGCUCGGGACCCGGGAUGAUCCCGGAACAGACUCGGGGGUCACUGUUUGGUGCAGGGAAGGCGGGCGCCCCCUCUCGCUCCGCCCGCGAACCGCAGCUCCGCGCAGGUGUUUUGUCCCCGCUGAGUUGCCGCACCUCCGCUCCCUGCUCGAGUGAGUAAACCCAAAAGGGCUAGGCGAGAGAGAGCCGACGCUCAGCGUUCACAGCCCCGAACCUUUCGCGGGUGAGUCAUGGCGCUGGGUGGUCAGUUCAACACGCUUCUAGAACUUUCAGACCAAUUUCCCCGACUACCUUCUAGGUCUUCCUGACCCAGAUCCAGGCCCAUUUCGCUUUACUGCCUCUUCAGCGGUUGAAGCAAAGAGAGCGAAAGCGGGGUUUCCUGACCCGCCAGGGCGCCCAGACUGGGGCGAAGGGUUCCCCGGGUUCUGAGGCGCUGCGCGGGGCCUCAGUGUCCAGCUGGGGCUCCCAAGGCCGGAGACUCGGCAAGGCGGACAAGCUUCAGUGAGCGAGAGGGACGCGUUCUCUCUCCGCGGCUAAAAGCUUCAGAGCUCAGUGUCGGAUCAGGCGGGCCAGGAACGCCGAUGGACUGCCCUCUUCCGCUACCCACAGAUUUCACAGCCGUUUCCAGACACAGGAAUGCUUUUGAUGCAGCAACAUAUCCUCCACAGCCCUGGAAGGGUCUUGGUGCUCUGACCAGGUGUCAGGCCUGAGCCUCUGAGGUGGGAGAGCCGAGUUCAGGACAUUGAUCCACCAGAGACCUCCCGGCCCCAUGUAAUAUCAAAUGGCGAAAGCUCUCCCAGAGAUCUCCAUCUCAAUGCUAAGACCCUGCUCCACUCAAUGUCCAGCAAGCUACAGUGCGGGACACCCUGUGCCAAACAACUAGCAAGACAGGAACACAACCCCACCUAUUAGCAGAGAGGCUGCCUUAAAUCAUAAUAAGUUCACACACCCCCCGAGAAAACACCACUGGAUGUGGUCCU
Long non-coding RNA from Physeter macrocephalus (sperm whale), 1032 nucleotides. RefSeq lists it as uncharacterized. The transcript has 3 exons. The record is from RefSeq and is a predicted model, not a curated record. NCBI's taxonomy places the organism in Eukaryota, Metazoa, Chordata, Mammalia, Artiodactyla, Physeteridae.